UACGUAGGGUGCAAGCGUUAAUCGGAAUUACUGGGCGUAAAGCGUGCGCAGGCGGUUAUGCAAGACAGAUGUGAAAUCCCCGGGCUCAACCUGGGAACUGCAUUUGUGACUGCAUGGCUAGAGUGCGGCAGAGGGGGAUGGAAUUCCGCGUGUAGCAGUGGAAUGCGUAGAUAUGCGGAGGAACACCGAUGGCGAAGGCAAUCCCCUGGGCCUGCACUGACGCUCAUGCACGAAAGCGUGGGGAGCAAACAGG
RNAcentral lists this ribosomal RNA (253 nucleotides) under uncultured bacterium. Its description in RNAcentral is "partial 16S ribosomal RNA". It matches the Rfam family "Bacterial small subunit ribosomal RNA", at positions 524 to 776 of the family's 1533-position model. The record is from RNAcentral.